ACCAGUAAGACUCACUUUUAAAUGGUGGCCCGUGAUUGGCCAAAAGGACCGUUUCAGUUACCUAAUUUCUUACCGAAAACGUAAACUCCGAACGCAACAAUUGCGCGGAUAACAAAAUUUCACUUAAAAUUCAAAUACAUAAAUAUUAAAAUUAAUAAUUUACAUAAUAAAAUUACGGCGUUAAUUUUACCGUUUACAGUUUUCAAGUCCAUUAGUCCUUAGAGGGGUAUCAACAAUACCUCGUUCAAAUAGUCCGGUAAAAAUCCAAAGAAUCACUUUUCCAUAGACAUACAUAACCAAAUAUUGCCGUUUCUGAAAAUAAAUGAUAUUAUACAUAGAGCAAACAAAAAUAAAAUAAAUCGUAAAUAAUAAUAAAUAAUUAAACUGUCAAAACAAACAUGUUGCAGUACAGAUUUUGCCGCCCUUGUCAAUUACAUUGAACAGUGCUCUUUGACCUGUUCAAAACGGUGCAAUGUGAUUGGCACUUCUCUUUCUCCGUCGCACAAUACACAACACUCUUCGUUGCCUAGCAACGCGCGCACCAAACGACAAACAAAAAAAACAACUUGAGAGAGACUACCUCUCCUCGAUUCGUUUUUUACCGUUGCGCGCCUGAAAAUCGCGCCUUUUUAAACACUUUUUAUCGGGUCGUCGCUGCUAACAGACCUGCGCGAAGAAGUUCACGGAUUUUGCAGUGCAAAAUCUUCGAAGGCUGGAACUGCUGCUGCUCUCCGACAGCUUCUGCCUUGAGCCGCUCCUGUUGAGAAGGACUCGGGAGGACUUACUUACUGUGAGUAUGAUUCACUAAAGGGAUUCGAAGGGGUGCAAUGUACACGUGAGUCAACAAUAGGACGUUCUCCAGGUCACGUCACGGCAAUGGGUCAACGUCCAUCUGCGGUGAUGACUGCAUCCUUGCUGCGACUCCUCCUUCCUGCAGCGGACAGCGGCGUCGAGACGGCGCCUGUCCUCAAAACGACCAACAAACCUGGCCUGGUUCACCACGCGUCGACGGGGUCUGGCGUGGGGCGAUGAUGCUGUACCAGACAGCACGGCAUCUGGCACUGCAGCUGACGUCAUCAACUGCUGAUGUGGCGGCGUCCAGCCGCCCUGCCUCACGACUACGCGCGAGACGGCGUCGUGGCGUCUGCGGUGCUGAUUGCGUGGGGCGAGGUCACCACUUCCCACAAGGAAGCACUCGUCUAUUCCCAUCACUGUUAGAUCCACAUUCUUCGCUAUUCUUCACAUCAUUCGAAGAAUACUAUUCAAGCAACUAUGACAGUGAUGCGAGUGAAUAGUGUUGAGACGACGUAAUUUUCUCGUAUAGGGGCUUCUCCCAAUAAAUUCUUAAAAAUCAUCGAUUUCAAA
Long non-coding RNA from Bacillus rossius redtenbacheri, 1365 nucleotides. RefSeq lists it as uncharacterized. NCBI's taxonomy places the organism in Eukaryota, Metazoa, Arthropoda, Insecta, Phasmatodea, Bacillidae. The transcript has 2 exons. The record is from RefSeq and is a predicted model, not a curated record.